AUGAUCACUUCUACAAUACCUAUGCUAAAAUUGGAAUGACACAGAGACAAUUAGCAUGGCCCUGCAGAAGGACAGCACAAAUUCAUGAAGCAUUCCAUAUUUUA
This is a small nuclear RNA of Choloepus didactylus (southern two-toed sloth), 104 nucleotides long. The record is from RefSeq and is a predicted model, not a curated record. Lineage: Eukaryota; Metazoa; Chordata; Mammalia; Pilosa; Megalonychidae.